CAAGCUCUAGAAGCUCAUGCUGCUGCUUUUGCACAAUUUAAAGUUCCAGGGAAUGAGAAUCCUUCUACUCUCAUUUCCUUUGCAACAAAGACUUUUAAUGCUGGCCAAAUUACAUCAAAGUUGCAUGUUAUAGAGCUUGGUGCCCAACCAGGAAAACCUUCUUUUACAAAGAAACAAGCA
Humulus lupulus (European hop) is the source of this 180-nucleotide long non-coding RNA. RefSeq lists it as uncharacterized. The record is from RefSeq and is a predicted model, not a curated record. Lineage: Eukaryota; Viridiplantae; Streptophyta; Magnoliopsida; Rosales; Cannabaceae. The transcript is spliced from 3 exons.